RNAcentral lists this ribosomal RNA (253 nucleotides) under uncultured bacterium. RNAcentral's name for it is "partial 16S ribosomal RNA". It matches the Rfam family "Bacterial small subunit ribosomal RNA", at positions 524 to 776 of the family's 1533-position model. The record is from RNAcentral.
UACGGAGGGUGCAAGCGUUAUCCGGAUUCACUGGGUUUAAAGGGUGCGUAGGCGGGUUAUUAAGUCAGUGGUGAAAGCCUACAGCUUAACUGUAGAAUUGCCAUUGAUACUGAUAAUCUUGAGUAUGAUUGAGGUGGGCGGAAUGUGUCAUGUAGCGGUGAAAUGCUUAGAUAUGACACAGAACACCGAUUGCGAAGGCAGCUCACUAAGCCAUAACUGACGCUGAUGCACGAAAGCGUGGGGAGCAAACAGG